GUGAAUUUAGUCUUAGAUUUCCUUCCACACAUUUUCAAUCCGUGUACUCAUAUAGCCUCAUCAUAUUAGAGCCCAAACAUCCUUUCCCCCCUCUUUUACAUUCUAUAAUCUUGAUUAAUAGCAUUGUAUUAAAUAAUACUAUAUCUUUUAUCCAAAUUACAUCUAUAUCAUGUUUCUAAAUAGGAUAGAAUUAAUUACUUGGUUACUUGGGGGACAGCAAAGAGGAGGGAUACAGAAGACGAGAAAAGUCUCUUUUUCUCCCUUUGCCUCAAUUCCGAUAGUUUCCUUCUAUUUUGGAUGUGCCUCUAGCCAUUUGUGGCCUUCUUCAGCCGUAUGCAUGGUAAAUGGCUGACUUUCAUGCCAAAAAAAUUUGGUAGGGAAACCCCAGGUAUAUUUAAUUUGUCUAGAUCUCAGUAUUGUGUUUAAGUCCUUAAAGGCAUAUCUACUUUUCCUUGUGCCAUUGGAUAGGUCUUGAAAAAAGAGCAGGUUUUUAAGAUUUUCCCUCAUUGGAAUUAAAACUUCUUGAGGCUUGGUAGAUUUUUUUUUUUUGCCAGAUAAAGAAUGCUGAGAAAUGAACAAUUUCUGAGAUUACCUUAGGCUUUACUGUUCUGUGUGCAUGUUCUAUUAGGUCUUCCUUUUGUGCUACUGAGACUCCCAUAUUUUAAAAAGAUCCAAUAAACAUUCUAAUAAUAAAUAGGAAUCUAUAUUCUCAUUUAUUCCUCUAAUUCUUGCGCAACUAACGUCUCAAAUCCUACAGACUGACAUUCCACUAGAUCCAUGGAUCUGGCUUCUGUCCAAGCCCUACGAGGAAACACUGAGAGCUCAAAACAAACUCAUCGCUAAAAUCGCACUAACCACUAGGAAAACCAUAGCUGCAAAAUGGGGUAGCCCAGAUAUCCCCUCAAUGGUCACGGUGAAGCAAAAGAUAAAUGAGACUUGGGAAAUGGACAACCUUUCAGCACUCAUCCAUGAUAAUAAAACUUUCCACAAAUUCUGGGAUGCCUGGCUCUUCAAAUUCUUCCUCCCCACAUGAAAGGAUUGCUAUGGCGCAAGGCAAGGUCACUGAGGAACACAAAUCUUUUCCCCCCCCCCCCUUCUCUAAACCAUUCUGAUAUUUCACAACGUACACUCGACACUGUCUGUAUUCCACCUAUCAAUCUUACCAUACUCCCCCCAAUGUUUCAAGGGAUGCACCCAUCACACCUUAUGGCCGUAAACUCCUCCAUGACAUAGUUGAAGGCCCAGUACGCAUCUCAUACGCCGUGCAAGCAGGAGGGGACACCUGGUCACCCCCUGGGCUUGCACAGAAAGGCCUACCCCCUCUCACACUACAGCCACGGAUGACAAUGUACUCACCGAGGCACCACAGACUACAGUGAUGCCAUCACAAUAGCUACAGAUCUUAACGACGGGGUCACGAAUGGUUAUGAAUCCUGUAACAUACCGGUAUUGAUUAACACCUGUACAAGAAUUGCAGACGAAAGUCAAAGUGAUAUACGGGUUUCCCCAUUGUGCCGCCUUCUUUCUGUUUUCCCUCCCCACCUAUUAUAGACCACAAAAAAGGAAGACAACCUGACUAAUGUAGUAAUUUUACCCAACAUGUACAUAGGUUAAAAUAUGUUGAAACCACUGAUGAAACUCCUGUGUACUUGUACAAUCUGUAUAAAUGUCACAAUGAAACGAUGUAUGUGUUAUACUCUUUUACCCCCAGAUUCUUCUUUCUGUACCACUCCCCC
Non-coding RNA from Pelobates cultripes (western spadefoot toad), 1736 nucleotides. The record is from the annotation of a GenBank genome assembly. Lineage: Eukaryota; Metazoa; Chordata; Amphibia; Anura; Pelobatidae.